UUGGGAUUCUGCUGUGAAGAGAGUCCAGCGACGGCCGGAGCCCCACCGCGUCCUCGAAGAAGUCACCUCCAGACGGCAAGAAAGAGAGGAGAGACUCUGCCGACUCGAGGUCCUCCACCACCUCGGCUGUCUCCUCCUCUUCCUCCCCGCAGAAGAGACCGUCAGGGGAGAGGAGAGCCUCUGUGGGCAGCAGCCCCUUGCCAGCUUCCACCGGCUCCCGGAGAAACUCCAGUGACAGCAAGGAGGAAAGGUAGGAG
Molecule: long non-coding RNA, 257 nt
Organism: Pygoscelis adeliae (Adelie penguin)
Lineage: Eukaryota; Metazoa; Chordata; Aves; Sphenisciformes; Spheniscidae
Exons: 3
Source: RefSeq, a predicted model, not a curated record